UACCAGCUCUCCGAGUGGUGUGGAUGUUUAUUGGGCCUAAAGCAUCCGUAGCUGGCUGGGCAAGUCCCCUGUUAAAUCCACCGAUUCAAUCGUUGGUGUGCGGGGGAUACUGUUCGGCUAGGGGACGGGAGAGGCCGACGGUAUUUUCGGGGUAGGGGUGAAAUCCUAUAAUCCCGGGAAGACCACCAGUGGCGAAGGCUGUCGGCUAGAACGCGCCCAACGGUGAGGGAUGAAAGCUGGGGGAGCGAACCGGAUUAGAUACCCGGGUAGUCCCAGCUGUAAACGAUGCAGGCUAGGUGUUUGGGCGGCCACGUGCCGCUCUAGUGCCGCAAAGAAGUUGUUAAGCCUGCCGCCUGGGGAGUACGGUCGCAAGGCUGAAACUUAAAGGAAUUGGGCGGGGGAGCACCACGAAGGGGUGAAGCUUGUCGGUUU
RNAcentral lists this ribosomal RNA (432 nucleotides) under uncultured archaeon. RNAcentral's name for it is "bacterial SSU rRNA". It matches the Rfam family "Archaeal small subunit ribosomal RNA", at positions 474 to 904 of the family's 1478-position model. The record is from RNAcentral.